This is a long non-coding RNA of Cygnus olor (mute swan), 519 nucleotides long. RefSeq lists it as uncharacterized. The transcript has 3 exons. NCBI's taxonomy places the organism in Eukaryota, Metazoa, Chordata, Aves, Anseriformes, Anatidae. The record is from RefSeq and is a predicted model, not a curated record.
GCGCUCUGAGGGAAGAGGUGAGGUAUUGCCCGAGGAACUGGUGAGCAUGCAUUCGGUCUGCGCUGUGUUAUCCUGAGGUGCUGAGGAGAUCGCGGCGGGCAGCCCCGUCAGGGAGGUGGUGAGCACAGGUGCUAGAACAAAAAAAAAAAAAAUCCAUCUAGGGGAGCUUGUUCUAUGAAUGACAAAAAAGAGUAGAGCAGCAGGAAUGAUGAUUGAAGAGAAAGGCAGCCUGGGCAAAGGUACUGCCCUGUCAACCGGUAAGGACUUCAGUUGGCAGCAGCCUGUGAAGAAGAAGGAAGAGGCAUCAUGUGGAACUGUGAGGCAAGAAUGAGCAGCAAGAGGAUGAGGGAGCAGAAGACUGAAGAGGGGCAAAAAUGAAGGCACCUUGGGGAAACAGACCGCCCUGUCAGUAGGGCUACAGUAAGGAGAGCAGUGUUGGCACCUUAGGUGCCCAGCUGGUGCAGAAGGACGAAGAGGCAUCAUGUGGAACGACGAGGCAAGGGUGAGCGGGAAGAGGGA